This 382-nucleotide long non-coding RNA is filed under the name Oryza sativa Indica Group (long-grained rice). RNAcentral's name for it is "lncRNA OsZS97_06G011260". The record is from RNAcentral. Lineage: Eukaryota; Viridiplantae; Streptophyta; Magnoliopsida; Poales; Poaceae.
AUGGCCGCCGACCGAGCUUCACCGCUGGCCCACCGACGUGACUGUCACAUUGUGACAGGUGCUCAUUUCUCUACCAUGCCAGAUUAUCUGGAUUGUGCUACUAGUGUAGAGGUGGGGAACAUAAAUGCAUUUAGUGUAGGGAUAGGACUAGGAGGAAUCGGAGAACUUGGGAGCAGAAUGCCCACUGAGGCAUGGUUGGAGUUGUCCCAGCCAACUACAUGUGAGUCUCUACUGUCUGUCUCUACUGGCCGUACUCAAGCUCCAUACAUGGUCCAACUAGCUGGGCUGGCACGGUGGAGUGCAUUUGUUCCCUUCACCGCCGUAAUCUCCAUGAUCUGUGUGGCCAUGCAUGGAGAAAUUGUCCAGCAAUAACACUAAAGAA